This 220-nucleotide long non-coding RNA is filed under the name Brassica napus (rape). RNAcentral describes it as "long non-coding RNA (BNAP_LNC008715)". The record is from RNAcentral. Lineage: Eukaryota; Viridiplantae; Streptophyta; Magnoliopsida; Brassicales; Brassicaceae.
UCGUGGGUGAGGUGGCGAGAUUACAGCCCCGCAAGGAGGAGCAAGAUUCCAACAUACCCUACGUGAACGAAUCAGGUUCUCAAAUAGAAACGUGAUGUCACCUGGGAUUUGUCCGGACCAUGUUAUACGUAAAUUGGUUUACGUCGGAAAUGUUAAAGCAUUGCAUACCACUCAUGAGUCUCCUCUAUAUAAAGAGACUUCAAUAGUAAAAUUUGUUUCU